Cucumis melo (muskmelon) is the source of this 163-nucleotide non-coding RNA. The record is from RefSeq and is marked provisional. Lineage: Eukaryota; Viridiplantae; Streptophyta; Magnoliopsida; Cucurbitales; Cucurbitaceae.
GCUAAUGCAGCAUCAUCAAGAUUCUCAAUCAAAAUCAUCUUCCAAACAAAUCAAUCCCACAAAAACAAAAUUUUAAAAAACAAAUAAUUAGGGUUUCCUUUCUUUUUUCUUUAUUUAUUUCUUAUUUUGUUGUGAAUCUUGAUGAUGCCGCACAAGCAAAUUA